AUGUUCUCUGUAGCUCUGCUGCUGCUGCUGGCUGCUGGAUCCUGUGUAAACUGUGAGCAGCUGACACAGCCACCCUCUGUUAUACUGCAGCCAGGUCAGCGUCUGACCAUCACCUGUCAGGUCUCUUAUUCUCUUAGCUGGUGGACAGCUUGGAUCAGACAGCCUGCAGGGAAAGGACUGGAGUGGAUUGGGGUGAAAGAUACUGGGAGCUCUUACUAUAAAGAUUCACUAAAGAGCAAGUUAAGCAUUGACUUGGACACUUCAAGCAAGACAGUGACUCUAAAUGGACAGAACAUGCAGCCUGAAGACUCUGCUGUGUAUUACUGUGCCAGAGUCUCACAGUAA
Molecule: non-coding RNA, 345 nt
Organism: Pelmatolapia mariae (spotted tilapia)
Lineage: Eukaryota; Metazoa; Chordata; Actinopteri; Cichliformes; Cichlidae
Source: the annotation of a RefSeq genome assembly